GCGAUCUGACGAAAAAUUAACUGUCCCCUUUUAUUAUAAGUAAAAUUAACUUGAGAGUAAAAAGGCUCUCAUCCUCUAAAGGGACGAUAAGACCCUAUAAAGCUUAACCUAAAUAUCUCAAAUUCAUUAAGUAAAAAUUGACACUCGUGGGUUUAACUGGGGCGGUUAGUAAUAAAACAUUACUUGAAAUAACGUUUUAGACGAAAAAUAAUAAACUUAUCUUUUAAAAUUAAGACUAAGUUACUUUAGGGAUAACAGCGUAAUAAUCCUAGAAAGAUCAUAUUGACAGGAUGUGUUACGACCUCGAUGUUGAAUUGAAUACCUCCUUUGAGCAGCAUCAAAGGGAAGAA
RNAcentral lists this ribosomal RNA (350 nucleotides) under Tylos neozelanicus. Its description in RNAcentral is "partial 16S large subunit ribosomal RNA". The stretch from base 52 to 350 matches the Rfam family "Bacterial large subunit ribosomal RNA", at positions 2048 to 2576 of the family's 2925-position model. The record is from RNAcentral. Lineage: Eukaryota; Metazoa; Arthropoda; Malacostraca; Isopoda; Tylidae.